GUUUGGAACUGCGAAUGGCUCAUUAUAUCAGUUAUAGUUUAUUUGGUGAAGUGUACUACUUGGAUAACCGUAGUAAUUCUAGGGCUAAUACAUGAGAAAGUCCUCUGGUGAGGUGUGUUUAUUAGAAUGAAAACCAUAUGCUUCGGCAUGAUAGUGAGUAAUAGUAACCUAUCGUAUCGCAUGCUUAAUGUAGCGAUGAGUCUUUCAAGUUUCUGCCCUAUCAGCUUUCGAUGGUAGUAUAUGGGCCUACCAUG
Molecule: ribosomal RNA, 254 nt
Filed under: Blastocystis hominis
Lineage: Eukaryota; Bigyra; Opalinata; Blastocystidae
Description: partial 18S ribosomal RNA
Rfam family: Eukaryotic small subunit ribosomal RNA
Source: RNAcentral